This 507-nucleotide long non-coding RNA is filed under the name Homo sapiens (human). RNAcentral's name for it is "non-protein coding lnc-CDV3-2:1". Lineage: Eukaryota; Metazoa; Chordata; Mammalia; Primates; Hominidae. The record is from RNAcentral.
UUUUUUUUUUUUUUUUGAGAUGGAGUCUCACUCUGUUGCCCAGGCUGGAGUACAGUGGUGAGAUCUUGGCUCACUGCAACCUCCACCUCCCUCCUGAUCAAGCGAUUCUCCUGCCUCAGCCUCCUGAAUAGCUAGGAUUACAGACGUGUGCCACCAUGUCUGGCUAAUUUUUUUGUAUUUUUAGUAGACACGGGGUUUCACCAUGUUGGCUAGGCUGGUCUCAAACUCCUGACCUCAGGUGAUUCGCCUGCCUUGGCCUCCCAAAAUGCUGGGAUUACAAGCGUGAGCAACCGCGCCCGGCUAUAACAGGUUAUUUCAAAAACCUAUCAACAAAAUUAAAGUUACCAGUACUUACUCUUAAACAGUAUGCUACACAGUUUAUUACAAAGUAGUAUUUUAGCUUAUUGCCUAAUUAUAUUUUCUAUGUGUAGUAUAAAUACAUAUGCCAUGUGAGAGGUUUUAUCUUUUAUACAAACUGCAGGAAGACAGAAGCAACUGUGGGGUAAC